GCGGCACAGAGGGAAGCCAGGUGGCGACACCGCGCGGAACCCGAAAGCCGUUCUCAGUUCGGAUCGGAGUCUGCAACCCGACUCCGUGAAGCUGGAUUCGCUAGUAAUCGCGCAUCAGCCAUGGCGCGGUGAAUACGUUCCCGGGCCUUGUACACACCGCCCGUCAAGCCAUGGGAGCCGGGGGUGCUUGAAGUGCGUCGCCGCAAGGCGCGCCCUAGAGCAAAACCGGUGACUGGGGCUAAGUCGUAACAAGGUACC
Molecule: ribosomal RNA, 258 nt
Filed under: uncultured bacterium
Lineage: Bacteria
Description: partial 16S ribosomal RNA
Rfam family: Bacterial small subunit ribosomal RNA
Source: RNAcentral